Molecule: long non-coding RNA, 1279 nt
Filed under: Carica papaya (papaya)
Lineage: Eukaryota; Viridiplantae; Streptophyta; Magnoliopsida; Brassicales; Caricaceae
Description: long non-coding RNA (CPAP_LNC013591)
Source: RNAcentral
UCGACACAACAAGCAUACGCCUCGGUCAGAUGCCAAGAGCGCGCUGAUUCUUACGGUUCAAAAUCUAAAAAGCCGCGCAGGCCAUUGGCGGAGAAUGCUUGUGCUGAAACAAAGCAAUACAGCUUUCUUUUUCAACUUUUUCAGAAAUACCCCGCAAGGUCAGGAGUCAUUCCCUUGCUGUACACUCCAUUCACCUCUCAUCCUCCUUCAAAGUACUUGAAAAUCAUUUCCUUGAAAUAUGGACGUCUUUAAAAGUUACUGUAUUUUCGAUUUCUCUUUCGUUUUGAAAUCCGACUUGAUUCCAAAGCAUUGCGUUUUGUAUUCUUUUUACUCGGAAUCCAACAGUGAUUGGAAGACAUCGCAUCCAAUACCUCCUUAUCCAUUGGGUCUAAUAAAAAUUUCAAAUGCUUGAAUUUGACUGGACUCGGAGUAGUUAGUAUUCCGAGCUGCCUACGUACCUUCUCUUUGAGGAUCAAGUCAUACGUAGUUCUGCUCAUUCCGUGAACUCUAGCAGCAAACUUAAAUUGAUGUGAGUCAAGGCAGCCGCAAUUCCCACGAGCAAACAACCCCGGAGCAAGCGGAAUCCCGCCGGGAGAGAGGAAGUUUUUACUGCGUUCAGCUUUUGCUAAUUGCGAGUGCUCCUUGGAGGAUUCUUCACCCGUCCCCUUGAAUUAGGAGUUGAAUCUAUUUACCGAGGUAUUCUCGUGGCGCCUUUUCAAUUCUCUUUCCUAUUCCCAGUUACCGUUGUUCACCAUCGCACCGUUGAUUGUGGGGUACGUAGGGAUGGUUUAUUUAAGGCUUCAAGUUUUCUGCGUGCUGGUGUUAUAUGUGGGGUUUCGGAUUGUGUUGUUGAUCCCGGGUUCCGCACCACAAAUUCAUCAGCUUUGACUGAACUUGGAGUAGUAUGCCAAGCUGCCUACGUAACUUCUCUUUGAGGAUCCAGUCAUACGUAGCUCCCCUCCAUCCGUUUCAUUUUUUGUAAGACUUCAUGGAUAACAAAGAAUUGGAUUUCAAGAAAACUUCAAACGAAACGCAUUGCUUUCUGGCCCACGCGGAUUCCAAGAUGAAUGACGAAUUGAAGAUACGGUAUCUUCCAGAGACUUCUACAUUUCACGGGAGGAGAACCAUAAAAUUUUACUUCCCUCGUUCACUUGUGUAAUUUUCGAUUACUUCAAGAAGUCUGGGAAAUGAAACGGAGUUUACGGCAGUGUAAAUGAAGAAUCGAAGGCAACGACUCGCGAAUCUAAUGGGUAUUUUUCGAAAAAGUUGAAGAAGUUGC